AGAAUCAACGCUGGCGGCGUGCCUAACACAUGCAAGUCGAGCGCGAAAGGGGGGGCAACUCCCCAAGUAGAGCGGCGAACGGGUGAGUAACGCGUGGGUAAUCUACCUCCGAGUGGGGAAUAACAGCGGGAAACUGCUGCUAAUACCGCAUGACAUCGUCGAGCCUUCGGGCCCGACGAUCAAAGCCGGGGACCGCAAGGCCUGGCGCUUGGAGAGGAGCCCGCGUCCGAUUAGCUAGUUGGCGGGGUAACGGCCCACCAAGGCUCCGAUCGGUAGCCGGCCUGAGAGGGCGGACGGCCACACUGGGACUGAGACACGGCCCAGACUCCUACGGGAGGCAGCAGUGGGGAAUUUUCGCAA
RNAcentral lists this ribosomal RNA (360 nucleotides) under uncultured soil bacterium. Its description in RNAcentral is "bacterial SSU rRNA". It matches the Rfam family "Bacterial small subunit ribosomal RNA", at positions 26 to 371 of the family's 1533-position model. The record is from RNAcentral.